GAGUUUGAUCUUGGCUCAGGAUGAACGCUAGCGGCAGGCUUAAUACAUGCAAGUCGUGGGGCAGCAGGUCUGUAGCAAUACAGAUGCUGGCGACCGGCAAACGGGUGCGGAACACGUACACAACCUUCCUUUAAGUGGGGAAUAGCCCGGGGAAACCCGGAUUAAUACCCCGUAACAUUUUGAAGUGGCAUCACUUUAUAAUUAUAGCUUUCGGGCGCUUGAAGACGGGUGUGCGGCUGAUUAGGUAGUUAGCGGGGUAACGGCCCACCAAGCCUACGAUCAGUAACUGGUGUGAGAGCACGACCAGUCACACGGGCACUGAGACACGGGCCCGACUCCUACGGGAGGCAGCAGUAAGGAAUAUUGGUCAAUGGACGCAAGUCUGAACCAGCCAUGCCGCGUGGAGGAUGAAGGUCCUCUGGAUUGUAAACUUCUUUUAUAUGGGACGAAAAAGGGUUUUCUAACUCGUCUGACGGUACCAUAUGAAUAAGCACCGGCUAACUCCGUGCCAGCCGCCGCCGU
RNAcentral lists this ribosomal RNA (522 nucleotides) under uncultured Sphingobacterium sp. RNAcentral's name for it is "bacterial SSU rRNA". It matches the Rfam family "Bacterial small subunit ribosomal RNA", at positions 9 to 521 of the family's 1533-position model. The record is from RNAcentral. Lineage: Bacteria; Pseudomonadati; Bacteroidota; Sphingobacteriia; Sphingobacteriales; Sphingobacteriaceae.